Molecule: ribosomal RNA, 497 nt
Filed under: uncultured bacterium
Lineage: Bacteria
Description: partial 16S ribosomal RNA
Rfam family: Bacterial small subunit ribosomal RNA
Source: RNAcentral
GACGAACGCUGGCGGCGUGCCUAAUACAUGCAAGUAGAACGCUGAAGAGAGGAGCUUGCUCUUCUUGGAUGAGUUGCGAACGGGUGAGUAACGCGUAGGUAACCUGCCUUGUAGCGGGGGAUAACUAUUGGAAACGAUAGCUAAUACCGCAUAACAAUGGAUGACCCAGGUCAUUUAUUUGAAAGGGGCAAAUGCUCCACUACAAGAUGGACCUGCGGUGUAUUAGCUAGUAGGUGAGGUAACGGCUCACCUAGGCGACGAUACAUAGCCGACCUGAGAGGGUGAUCGGCCACACUGGGACUGAGACACGGCCCAGACUCCUACGGGAGGCAGCAGUAGGGAAUCUUCGGCAAUGGGGGCAACCCUGACCGAGCAACGCCGCGUGAGUGAAGAAGGUUUUCGGAUCGUAAAGCUCUGUUGUAAGUCAAGAACGAGUGUGAGAGUGGAAAGUUCACACUGUGACGGUAGCUUACCAGAAAGGGACGGCUAACUACGUG